UACGAAGGGGGCUAGCGUUGCUCGGAAUUACUGGGCGUAAAGCGCACGUAGGCGGUCUUUUAAGUCAGGGGUGAAAUCCUGGAGCUCAACUCCAGAACUGCCUUUGAUACUGAAGAUCUUGAGUUCGGGAGAGGUGAGUGGAACUGCGAGUGUAGAGGUGAAAUUCGUAGAUAUUCGCAAGAACACCAGUGGCGAAGGCGGCUCACUGGCCCGAUACUGACGCUGAUGCACGAAAGCGUGGGGAGCAAACAGG
Molecule: ribosomal RNA, 253 nt
Filed under: uncultured bacterium
Lineage: Bacteria
Description: partial 16S ribosomal RNA
Rfam family: Bacterial small subunit ribosomal RNA
Source: RNAcentral